This is a long non-coding RNA of Ctenopharyngodon idella (grass carp), 363 nucleotides long. RefSeq lists it as uncharacterized. The record is from RefSeq and is a predicted model, not a curated record. NCBI's taxonomy places the organism in Eukaryota, Metazoa, Chordata, Actinopteri, Cypriniformes, Xenocyprididae. The transcript is spliced from 3 exons.
UUUUGCAUAUAUUUUUAUUUAUAUCGCUCGCUGCGCCAGUAUAUGGCAAACAAGUGACUUUUCGUGUAGUGAGUUGAAUCAUUCACUCAAACGAUUCGUUCUGAACACUGAUUCAUUCAGGAACACCACUACUGUGUGUUGCUCGGAGAUAGGCGACGAUUGGUUCUGUCAACUGGUGUGAUUUGGCGGAGCUAAAAUGGACAAAGUUACUGGGCUUAUUGUGUCUAAAAUGUCUGACUCUUUCUCUGACAUCAGUAUCCAACAACAUCCAGUGUGCAGGAGCAGAAAUGAAGUCAGUCUUCACUGAAAUUCCAUGCCGUAAUCGUCCCGUUCCUCGGAAGCCAAAGAAUUCAGACGGCAAAG